RNAcentral lists this transfer RNA (102 nucleotides) under Candidatus Woesearchaeota archaeon. Its description in RNAcentral is "tRNA-Phe". The stretch from base 42 to 94 matches the Rfam family "tRNA", at positions 9 to 63 of the family's 71-position model. Rfam says of the family: Transfer RNA (tRNA) molecules are approximately 80 nucleotides in length. Their secondary structure includes four short double-helical elements and three loops (D, anti-codon, and T loops). The record is from RNAcentral. Lineage: Archaea; Nanobdellati; Candidatus Woesearchaeota.
GGGAACGUAGCUCAGCCUGUGAAGGAAAGCUUAGCAGCUUCGGCUAAGGAGAGCACUACGCUGAAGACGUAGUUGUCCGGGAUUCAAAUUCCCGCGUUCCCA